Molecule: ribosomal RNA, 252 nt
Filed under: uncultured bacterium
Lineage: Bacteria
Description: partial 16S ribosomal RNA
Rfam family: Bacterial small subunit ribosomal RNA
Source: RNAcentral
GACAGAGGGUGCAAACGUUGUUCGGAAUUACUGGGCGUAAAGCGCGUGUAGGCGGCUAAGUAAGUCGGGCGUGAAAUCCCACGGCUCAACCGUGGAAGUGCACUCGAAACUGCAUAGCUAGAGUCCUGGAGAGGAAGGUGGAAUGCUUGGUGUAGAGGUGAAAUUCGUAGAUAUCAAGCGGAACACCGGUGGCGAAGGCGGCCUUCUGGACAGUGACUGACGCUGAGACGCGAAAGCGUGGGGAGCGAACAG